Nilaparvata lugens (brown planthopper) is the source of this 278-nucleotide long non-coding RNA. RefSeq lists it as uncharacterized. The record is from RefSeq and is a predicted model, not a curated record. The transcript is spliced from 2 exons. Lineage: Eukaryota; Metazoa; Arthropoda; Insecta; Hemiptera; Delphacidae.
AAUAUUUGUGUAAUCAAUUUUCACCUUCACAUUAAUCUUAUUUUAUCAAUUUGUUGCAGGCUGGACGGGGAAAGAGGAAGAUGACAAGGACAUUAAUGUUUGGGAAGACAACUGGGAUGAUGACAACGUUGAAGACGAUUUCAAUCUUCAAUUAAGGAAUGAGCUUCAAAAACAGGGCAUCAAACCCGAUCAAUAAAAUAUGUAUUACAAAAUAAUAUAAGUUAAGAUUGAUUUAACCGAUAAUGUAAUUUUCUCAAUAAAUUUGAACUUUAAUUCAA